AUUCCUUACCAUAUGAGUGGUCCUUCUUUCAUGCUCUUAAUGCUUUCCAUUUCACACCCUCUCAAUAUUCAUAAAUUAAUAACUAAUUUCAUUUCCUCUCUCUCUAACAUUGCAUACAUUACAUAUUAUAUUUAAUCUUCCAUCCCAAAUAUAAAUUAUUGUUGUUUUGCUUUCGGUAUCCUUAGUGGAGUGGAGAGUGCUCUAUUUCAAAACAGGACAAUACCACAAAGAAAUAUCAAUUUACAAAAGUGAUUAUGGGCCUAGGAAGAUUGGUAGUGACACUAAAAUCCAAAAUAAAAUCUUUGAAAUUGAAGAAACCUUAUAAUAAGGUGGAGAAAAGUGAGAGUAUGAGAGUGGAGAUAAGGAGCAAAAAAGCAAGAAAGCUUAUUGAAGAGACUCUCAAAAUUGCUGAUUCACCAAGGACAAAAACUUUCAAUUUUUGAUACUAUCUAGAGCUACCUUAUGUUCAGUUCAUUGUAUGUAUCAAACCUCUCAAGGUUCUCUUAUUUUCUAUGUAUGUAUUUUAGUUCAAUUUCAAUAAGAUUUUAGCUUUUUUUUUCCUAAA
Molecule: non-coding RNA, 565 nt
Organism: Cicer arietinum (chickpea)
Lineage: Eukaryota; Viridiplantae; Streptophyta; Magnoliopsida; Fabales; Fabaceae
Source: RefSeq, a predicted model, not a curated record